AGGGUGAUAUCCAACAAUAACAAAAAGCUUCAAAGACAGGAACCAAUGUUGAAUCAUAAUACUGGAUGAGGUAGCAGAUAAUUAAAGCAGAUUUCAGACAAAUAUUCAUGAGGGUGAUAUCCAACAAUAACAAAAAGCUUCAAAGACAGGAACCAAUGUUGAAUCAUAAUACUGGAUGAGGUAGCAGAUAAUUAAAGCAGAUUUCAGACAAAUAUUCAUGAGGGUGAUAUCCAACAAUAACAAAAAGCUUCAAAGACAGGAACCAAUGUUGAAUCAUAAUACUGGAUGAGGUAGCAGAUAAUUAAAGCAGAUUUCAGACAAAUAUUCAUGAGG
Molecule: long non-coding RNA, 333 nt
Organism: Salvia splendens (bonfire salvia)
Lineage: Eukaryota; Viridiplantae; Streptophyta; Magnoliopsida; Lamiales; Lamiaceae
Exons: 3
Source: RefSeq, a predicted model, not a curated record